AGGAAGCCUGGCUCUGGACGUGUGUGUGGUCUGUCUGACAAGCUUUUCUGUAUAUGUGUAAGAGAAUGUGUGUUCUGUGGGACAGGUGGAAAGACGGAUGGGAACAGACAGUCUAGGUCUCCGGACAGCAGUGUUCGAAUUACCAUUCCCUGCUCAAAUCUCAAAUCAGAUCCCGAAAAACGGAAGAGAAAGAAGAGAAAAUGUGCAGGAAAUAUUGGUGGGGGAGAUGCAGACCACAAGGACUGUCUGUUCUGUAAACAAAACUGGAGUGCCACACACAAUUCUGUAGCCCAUGACUACUUGAAGAGGGAUCAGUGGUCAAAGGGCUCUGGCUCACCUGCCUAAUACUCCACUAUCAGAUGUGCUGACUAAAUCUGGAAUAAAAGACAUGUUGUAAUCAAUUGGAGAAACACA
This is a long non-coding RNA of Pangasianodon hypophthalmus (striped catfish), 414 nucleotides long. RefSeq lists it as uncharacterized. NCBI's taxonomy places the organism in Eukaryota, Metazoa, Chordata, Actinopteri, Siluriformes, Pangasiidae. The record is from RefSeq and is a predicted model, not a curated record. The transcript is spliced from 3 exons.